UACGUAGGUGCCGAGCGUUGUCCGGAAUUAUUGGGCGUAAAGAGCUCGUAGGCGGUUUGUCACGUCUGCUGUGAAAUCCCGAGGCUCAACCUCGGGCCUGCAGUGGGUACGGGCAGACUGGAGUGCGGUAGGGGAGAAUGGAAUUCCUGGUGUAGCGGUGGAAUGCGCAGAUAUCAGGAGGAACACCGAUGGCGAAGGCAGUUCUCUGGGCCGUAACUGACGCUGAGGAGCGAAAGCGUGGGGGAGCGAACAGG
This 254-nucleotide ribosomal RNA is filed under the name uncultured bacterium. RNAcentral describes it as "partial 16S ribosomal RNA". It matches the Rfam family "Bacterial small subunit ribosomal RNA", at positions 524 to 776 of the family's 1533-position model. The record is from RNAcentral.